UUGAAAAAAUUGAUUAAGUCUUCGAUCGAUUAGUAUUCGUCAGCUCCACGUGUCACCACGCUUCCACCUCGAACCUAUUAACCUCAUCAUCUCUGAGGGAUCUUAUAACCGAAGUUGGGAAAUCUCAUCUUGAGGGGGGCUUCAUGCUUAGAUGCUUUCAGCACUUAUCCCGUCCAUACAUAGCUACCCA
RNAcentral lists this ribosomal RNA (190 nucleotides) under Staphylococcus hominis. RNAcentral describes it as "partial 23S ribosomal RNA". Lineage: Bacteria; Bacillati; Bacillota; Bacilli; Caryophanales; Staphylococcaceae. The record is from RNAcentral.